RNAcentral lists this ribosomal RNA (468 nucleotides) under uncultured bacterium. Its description in RNAcentral is "partial 16S ribosomal RNA". It matches the Rfam family "Bacterial small subunit ribosomal RNA", at positions 28 to 507 of the family's 1533-position model. The record is from RNAcentral.
GACGAACGCUGGCGGCGUGCUUAACACAUGCAAGUCGAACGGAAAGUCCCUGCCUUUGUGGGCUGCUCUAGUUGCGAACUGGUGAGUAACACGUGGGUUACCUGUCCUUCACUUUGGGAGAACUUCAUGAAACUUGGGCUAAUACCGGCUAGGAUCUCCUGCUGCUUGGUGGGCGUUGGAAAGUUUCGGCGGUUGGGGAUGUACUCGCGGCUCAUCAGCUUGUUGGUGGGGUAGUGGCUUACCAAGGCUUUGACGGGUAGCCGGGCUGAGAGGGUGACCGGCCAAAUUGGGACUGAGAUGCGGCACAGACUACAACGGGAGGCAGCAGUGGGGAAUAUUGCACAAGGGGAGGAAGGAUGAUGCAGCAAAGCCGCGUGGGGGAUGACGGGAUUCGGGUAGUAAACCGCUUUCGCCUGUGACGAAGCGUGAGUGACGGUAAUGGGUAAAGAAGCACCGGCUAACUACGUG